This 71-nucleotide transfer RNA is filed under the name Cordylochernes scorpioides. RNAcentral describes it as "tRNA-Gly". Lineage: Eukaryota; Metazoa; Arthropoda; Arachnida; Pseudoscorpiones; Chernetidae. The record is from RNAcentral.
UGCAUCUGCCAGGUUUCGAACCCGGGCCGCCCGUGUGGCAGGCGAGCAUUCUACCACUGAACCACCGAUGC